This 406-nucleotide ribosomal RNA is filed under the name uncultured bacterium. RNAcentral's name for it is "partial 16S ribosomal RNA". It matches the Rfam family "Bacterial small subunit ribosomal RNA", at positions 30 to 526 of the family's 1533-position model. The record is from RNAcentral.
AUUGAACGCUGGCGGCAGGCUUUACACAUGCAAGUCGAACGAGUGGCGGACGGGUGAGUAAUUUCUCGGAACCUGCCUGGUGGAGGGGGAUAACUACUGGAAACGGUGGCUAAUACCGCAUACUCUCGGAUGUGCCCAGAUGGGAUUAGCUAGUAGGUGGGGUAAAGGCUCACCUAGGCGACGAUCCCUAGCUGGUCUGAGAGGAAGACCAGCCAAACUGGAACUGAGACACGGUCCAGACUCCUACGGGAGGCAGCAGUGGGGAAUAUUGCACAAUGGGCGAAAGCCUGAUGCAGCCAUGCCGCGUGUAUGAAGAAGGCCUUCGGGUUGUAAAGUACUUUCAGCUGGGAGGCGUUACCCGCAGAAGAAGCACCGGCUAACUCCGUGCCAGCAGCCGCGGUAAUUC